CCGAGUGGCCACUGGAGGAAAAAAAAAAUAAAGAACGCUAACUCGUGCCCUCGAUAUCCUAACUCGUUCCCUCGAUAUCCUAACUCGUUCCCUCGAUAUCCUAACUCGUUCCCUCGAUAUCCUAAAUCGAGGGAACGAAAUAAUUAUUUCGAGGGAACGAAUUAAGUAUUUCGUUCCCUCGAAAUAAUUAUUUCGUUCCCUCGAUUUAGGAUAUCGAGCGAACGAAUUAAGUAUUUCGUUCCCUCGAAAUAAUCAUAUUAGAAAUCGAAAUACAAUUUCGUGAUUAAAGUCUAAAUCUCUGGCCCAUCAAAGCCAGUGAGGAGAGACGGACAUGCAGCUGUUUUAUAAUAGAUCCAUGCAGCAUCAGCAGCAGCAGCAGCAGCACCGGGACCAGCUACAACAUCUUGGAGUGGAAGGGGCCGUCUAUGUGCUGGAGUUAACAGUGGCUGCAACGCUCUGACAUCCACGUUGACAUUAUACAGCAAUCUUACACAACCACACAGAUUCUUUUGCCGGAGUCCGAAGUUUCAUCUAUGGACGCAGCACCACAAACCAGCGGAUUGAAUCGUGGUGGGGGAUCCUGAGGAAACAAAGUGCACAGUUUUGGAUCAACGUUUUCCAAACCCUCUAAGAUGACGGCUACUUCUCUGGUGAUUUCUUGGAUAGGAGCCUGAUCCAAUUCUGCUUCCUAAACCUUGUUCAGGAUGAACUUGACGAAGUCGUGAGAACCUGGAAUUCACACAAGAUAAGAGCAAAGGCAGCUGAUGGUGUGAUUGGAGGUCGGCGGAUUUUGAUGUACACACUUCCAGGCAUGUUCGGCGCAGAGGACAAUCUCAAGCCCAUACACAUGAAUGAAUUGGCCCUUUGUAGGGAGGAGUGCACCCCCAAAAGCCAAUAUACAUGUGAUGAAACUGUAUUUGAUCUCUGCUGUCUUCUGAUGCAGGAAAGGGGAUGGGAUCCUCCUACAGAUGCAUUUUCCGCUGCUGAACUGUACACCUUAUUAAGAACUGAAAUACUGCAAAGUGUCUGAGGGUGGACAAUUCUCUCUGCACAAAGAAGAAUCAUUUGUACUGUACAAUACAGGACUGUCUCAGAAAAUUAGAAUAUUGUGAUA
Long non-coding RNA from Cololabis saira (Pacific saury), 1114 nucleotides. RefSeq lists it as uncharacterized. NCBI's taxonomy places the organism in Eukaryota, Metazoa, Chordata, Actinopteri, Beloniformes, Belonidae. The transcript has 4 exons. The record is from RefSeq and is a predicted model, not a curated record.